Molecule: long non-coding RNA, 205 nt
Filed under: Trifolium pratense (red clover)
Lineage: Eukaryota; Viridiplantae; Streptophyta; Magnoliopsida; Fabales; Fabaceae
Description: long non-coding RNA (TPRA_LNC014223)
Source: RNAcentral
CUUUCUUUUAUUUAUUUUUACCAACUGUUAUUGCUUUUUCUAUUUGCUCGCCCUCUGUUUUGUUUUGCUAACUGAUGCUCUGAUUUGUUUAGGUACAAUGACCAGUGGAUCUGCCGCUCUCCGCAAAGCUCGUGCUGCCAAGAACAAGAGGGAGGCGAGCAGUGCUGCUACAACUUCUUCUGCCCCUCAGUCUCCCACAGCUUCC